RNAcentral lists this long non-coding RNA (198 nucleotides) under Ursus americanus (American black bear). RNAcentral's name for it is "DAOA antisense RNA 1 conserved region 1 (ENSUAMG00000007207.1)". It matches the Rfam family "DAOA antisense RNA 1 conserved region 1". The record is from RNAcentral. Lineage: Eukaryota; Metazoa; Chordata; Mammalia; Carnivora; Ursidae.
UGGGUUACCUUUAAGUAUGAAGAUUCUAUCCAAACCUUGAAGUAUCUUUUGACUUUUUAUUUGAAAAUGCACAUGCAUGUGCAUUCAUGAAGGGCAGAGAGAUGAUGAAUGUUCUCAUCCGAGUUAGAACCAAAUACAGUGUAGACAGCUGCUGUGAGCUUUCUUAUUACAAUUUUGGCCUGACAUGAGUUGGAAAAU